This 256-nucleotide ribosomal RNA is filed under the name uncultured bacterium. RNAcentral describes it as "partial 16S ribosomal RNA". It matches the Rfam family "Bacterial small subunit ribosomal RNA", at positions 524 to 777 of the family's 1533-position model. The record is from RNAcentral.
UACGGGGGGAGCAAGCGUUGUUCGGAUUUACUGGGCGUAAAGGGCGGGUAGGCGGCCACCGCAAGUCAGUUGUGAAAUCUCUGGGCUUAACCCAGAAAGGUCAACUGAUACUGCGGGGCUAGAGUGCAGAAGGGGCAACUGGAAUUCUCGGUGUAGCGGUGAAAUGCGUAGAGAUCCGGAGGAACACCAGUGGCGAAAGCGGCCACCUGGACUGCACCUGACGCUGAAACGCGAAAAGCUAGGGGAGCGAACGGGA